Long non-coding RNA from Cornus florida, 1628 nucleotides. RefSeq lists it as uncharacterized. Lineage: Eukaryota; Viridiplantae; Streptophyta; Magnoliopsida; Cornales; Cornaceae. The transcript has 3 exons. The record is from RefSeq and is a predicted model, not a curated record.
AUACACAACCAGCCUCCAUAAAUGCGAUUGCACUCACUCUAUACGCUCUGCAAUAACUCCUCCCUCUCACAUCUUCAUCCGUCUCUUCCCUUUGGGCUUUCCCUUCUUCCCUCUCUCUCUCUCUCUCUCUCUCUCUCUCUCUCUCACACACACACACACAGAGUCAAUACCGCCUUGAAUUUUCCGAUGACCUGAAAACCAGAUCUGAGGCUUCUCUCAUUUGAGCGUCCCAUAACUCUUCCCUCUCUCUCUCUCUCAUAGUCAAUACCGCCUUGAAUCCUCCUUUUAGACUCCAACAAGUGAAAACCAGAUCUGAGCUUUCUGUCAUUUGAGCGCCCCAUAACUCUUCCCCUCUCUGUCUCUCUCGCCAUUUACCAGCAAGCCAAAGAAAGCAGUGAGAGAUUUCGUUAAGAAAAUGGUCCGGAAAGGUUUAAAUUUUGGAAAAGAAACAAAAAGACCAACUGAAAUGAGUAGAAACGGGAAAAAAAAAGAAAAAAAAAGGAGGUAGCCAAAAUCGCGAAGGAAAAACUCGCCGGAGAAAUUGAAGAAGGAUCGCCGGAAAGUGCAGGAAGGCAACGGAGAAUAAAAGCAAGGUAUGUUAAAGGAAGAUAAAAGUUGAGAGGAUCGGAGUUUUUAAAGAGAAGAAAUGGAGGCGACACAGAAUUCAAAAGUUCAAGGCAAAAGUGGCACAACAGAUCUCGAAGUCUGGGUCUUUGUGCCAGCCGUUCGAUUCCUCGUGUCAUCGUUCCGAGCCGUCAGACCAAGAUUGUGUCUUUUCAAAUAAUCUCACCCAAAUAAAUAAGGAGAGAGAUUAUUGGGGGCAGAUGAAGACACCAAAAAUGAUCCGGGCUUGGUAUGGUUCGUAUUGCUAAGAACGGGUCGGGUAUGGAUAGCCACGAUGGAGCAAGUCCACGCUGAAUGGGCCCAGAUCCAAUAAGUCAUUGCGGAAGCCCAUGUUAUGAUGAAAGAAGUAGAGUCCAGCCAAAAGAGAAUAAGAUAGGUCUAGCUCAGUGGCGGUUAUAACUAUUAUAAAUAAAGGGAAUUGAGGGGGAAAAGUGGUUAAAAAAUUAUUGGGAGUGUAAAGUCUCUCUCUACAAUUAGGGAAAUUUUUUUUUGUACUUUCAAAGAUGCAAUCUUAAAAUACACCCACAAGACCCCCGAAAGUUUUGGAUCGGUCGGCACAUUUUUCAAAAAAAAGUCGAUGAAUAGUACCAAGUAGACUUGUAUUAAAAAUUAGCAAAAACCUGGCAGCAAGGAUUUUUCGAAAAAAUAUGGGUUUUUGAGGACCAAGAUGAUAUUUUCUGGAAAAACACAAAGAAGAAACCACCCCCUCCUCGAAAAUCGAGUUUUCUACCCGACAGAGCGGAUGAAAAUGAAAAAAGUACACUAUAAAAUACCCAAAAUGCCCCUGGAAGAGAAAAGGGUAAAAACUAAAAAAAAAAUAUAACUUUAAGUUUUUGUUUCACCAAGAAUGGUAUUGUGUGUUAAAGUGAACAUGUAAGCAUAUGUAAUAUUAUAAAGUAGACGUAAUACAAUGUCCUACGGCCUCAUUACAAUCCAUUUACAAGUUUUGACAUACCAAAUCUCAAAUUCUCACAAAUAGGCUAAAAUGAUAAUACUUUUUUUUU